Molecule: ribosomal RNA, 407 nt
Filed under: uncultured bacterium
Lineage: Bacteria
Description: bacterial SSU rRNA
Rfam family: Bacterial small subunit ribosomal RNA
Source: RNAcentral
GACGAACGCUGGCGGCGUGCUUAACACAUGCAAGUCGAGCGGUAAGGCCCUUUCGGGGGUACACGAGCGGCGAACGGGUGAGUAAACACGUGGGUGACCUGCCCUCAGCUCUGGGAUAAAGCCUGGGAAACCGGGUCUAAUACCGGAUAUGACUCCAUGACGCAUGUUGUGGGGUGGAAAGCCUUGUGCGGCUGAGGAUGGGCCCGCGGCCUAUCAGCUUGUUGGUGGGGUGAUGGCCUACCAAGGCGACGACGGGUAGCCGGCCUGAGAGGGCGACCGGCCACACUGGGACUGAGACACGGCCCAGACUCCUACGGGAGGCAGCAGUGGGGAAUCUUGCGCAAUGGGCGAAAGCCUGACGCAGCGACGCCGCGUGAGGGAUGACGGCCUGGUGUAACGUACUUCUA